GCGGGGAUAGCUCAGCUGGGAGAGCGUCAGACUGAAGCCAAACUUCAUCUGCUAUCUGAAGGUCGUGUGUUCGAUCCACACUCACCGCA
This 89-nucleotide transfer RNA is filed under the name Camillea tinctor. RNAcentral describes it as "tRNA-Phe". It matches the Rfam family "tRNA". From Rfam's summary of the family: Transfer RNA (tRNA) molecules are approximately 80 nucleotides in length. Their secondary structure includes four short double-helical elements and three loops (D, anti-codon, and T loops). Further hydrogen bonds mediate the characteristic L-shaped molecular structure. tRNAs have two regions of fundamental functional importance: the anti-codon, which is responsible for specific mRNA codon recognition, and the 3' end, to which the tRNAs corresponding amino acid is attached (by aminoacyl-tRNA synthetases). tRNAs cope with the degeneracy of the genetic code in two manners: having more than one tRNA (with a specific anti-codon) for a particular amino acid; and 'wobble' base-pairing, i.e. permitting non-standard base-pairing at the 3rd anti-codon position. The record is from RNAcentral. Lineage: Eukaryota; Fungi; Ascomycota; Sordariomycetes; Xylariales; Graphostromataceae.